RNAcentral lists this ribosomal RNA (253 nucleotides) under uncultured bacterium. Its description in RNAcentral is "partial 16S ribosomal RNA". It matches the Rfam family "Bacterial small subunit ribosomal RNA", at positions 524 to 776 of the family's 1533-position model. The record is from RNAcentral.
UACGUAGGGUGCAAGCGUUGUCCGGAAUUAUUGGGCGUAAAGAGCUCGUAGGCGGUCUGUCGCGUCGGCUGUGAAAUCCCGAGGCUCAACCUCGGGUCUGCAGUCGAUACGGGCAAACUAGAGUAUUGCAGGGGAGACUGGAAUUCCUGGUGUAGCGGUGAAAUGCGCAGAUAUCAGGAGGAACACCGGUGGCGAAGGCGGGUCUCUGGGCAAUAACUGACGCUGAGGAGCGAAAGCUAGGGGAGCAAACGGG